RNAcentral lists this unclassified non-coding RNA (214 nucleotides) under Hevea brasiliensis (rubber tree). The record is from RNAcentral. Lineage: Eukaryota; Viridiplantae; Streptophyta; Magnoliopsida; Malpighiales; Euphorbiaceae.
AGGAAGAGGAAGAGGAAGAGGAUGCCACUUCAGGUGCUCUGCCUAUGCGUUGUAUUUUGUGUACCACAGCUGCAGGUUAAUAUCUGCUAAUUUUGUUUCUGUAACAUAAAUGUGCGUGGUGUGUGCAUAUAUGAUGAGCUUGUGCGAUUUAGACACUUGCAGCUUCUUGUUCUAUGAGUUGUAGGCAUAGUCAUUUGUAACAUAUGCAUUGAUG